UGGCCCCUAGUGUAAUGGUAGCACGACAGACUCUGGAUCUGUUGGUCGGGGUUCAAAUCCUCGGGGGCCAG
This 71-nucleotide transfer RNA is filed under the name Planctomycetota bacterium. Its description in RNAcentral is "tRNA-Gln". It matches the Rfam family "tRNA". Rfam says of the family: Transfer RNA (tRNA) molecules are approximately 80 nucleotides in length. Their secondary structure includes four short double-helical elements and three loops (D, anti-codon, and T loops). Further hydrogen bonds mediate the characteristic L-shaped molecular structure. tRNAs have two regions of fundamental functional importance: the anti-codon, which is responsible for specific mRNA codon recognition, and the 3' end, to which the tRNAs corresponding amino acid is attached (by aminoacyl-tRNA synthetases). tRNAs cope with the degeneracy of the genetic code in two manners: having more than one tRNA (with a specific anti-codon) for a particular amino acid; and 'wobble' base-pairing, i.e. permitting non-standard base-pairing at the 3rd anti-codon position. Lineage: Bacteria; Pseudomonadati; Planctomycetota. The record is from RNAcentral. RNAcentral also lists the same sequence under 1 other name.